RNAcentral lists this ribosomal RNA (330 nucleotides) under Paraxanthias notatus. RNAcentral's name for it is "partial small subunit ribosomal RNA". The record is from RNAcentral. Lineage: Eukaryota; Metazoa; Arthropoda; Malacostraca; Decapoda; Xanthidae.
AUUAAUAGGUAUGUUCUUUAAAUUUAAAGAAUUUGGCGGUGAUUUAGUCUUGUUAGAGGAACCUGUUUUUUAAUCGAUAAACCACGCAAUAUCUUUCUUACCUUCGUUUAACAGUUUAUAUACCGUCAUUAUCAGAUAAUUUUUAGAAAAUUAAUUAUUAUAAUUUAAAUUAUAGAUUAAAUUAGAUCAAGGUGUAGCUAAUAGGUGAGUUAAAAUGGGUUACAAUAAAAUUUAUUUAUUACGGAUGCCGGCUGUCAAUUAGUUGUGCGGAAGGAGGAUUUAAUUGUAAUGAGAAUUUAAUAUGUUCAAAAGAUAUAAGCUCUAAAUCAU